GUCAGCAGCUAAGGUCAAGUUUAGGACAAAGAAACGCUGCACAAGGAGGCUGAGAAAGAAGAAACAGGAUAGGGGAGAAGAUGUCUGUAGGACCCUGAGGAGUCUUCAGGUUACAAACAAUAACAAACACCACCAAAGGACAGGCUUCAGAAAAAUGGAAAAUUGAUCUAACAAGGAAGAAGUAUUAUGAAGCAAUGUUAAAAAGAAAUUGGUAAUAAUUGCCAACAGAGAAAACCCUUCAAAGAGAGUUGCUGCUUUUCCUAAGGGUUUCCAAGGAUCCAAAAACCUUCGGAAGUUCCAAGGAUCAAGUCCCAGGAUCUAAGCUGGACCUUUCCUGGAACAAAUUCCUUCAGACAAAUUCUCCACCAGACCAUCAACUCAGGAGGGCAAACAAGGAACUUGUUUUCAAGAGCUGGAGCCAAACCACCCAGAGUUUCCUGUGCCAGGUGAGCAUGAAGAGGGGCCGAAGUCACCCAUUACUAACCCCUCACCCAUGACUGCCUGAAAGGUAUGUCUCAGGCUUUAACCAUGAAACCUGUUUCCUCUCUCCCCUCCAAAGUCCAGCCCAGAGAGGCAUGAUAAAAUCACUUAGCAAAUGGAAAAUAUUUUGUGCUUAUUCUAAGAAAUGUGAUCCAUCAAAAAUGAGCUGACAAGUCAUUUCAUUUCCAAGGACAGUGUCCACAUACUCCAGGCAGCCUCUGGACCUGGAAUAAGACACAUCUAAGCCACAGGCCAGUAAGGACCAUACAGCUAUAACGUUAUGAGUGAUUCUGUAGCAUGGUUUUAAGGCACCAGCUGCACAGUCAGACUGCCUGGUUUCAGCCCAGCUCCCUCAUUUGCUAGCUGUGAAAACUGGGUGAAUUGCUUAAGCAACCCUUAAUGACAUUUUGUUGUUUUAAAAACGGCAAUAAUAAUAAUACUCCCUUCUUCAUAUGAUUGUUUUGAGAUUUGGAUAAGGCAAUAGGUGCUUUAUUCGAUAAGGACCCUAGAACAUACAAAUCUAUUUUAAAAAUGCUAUUAAUAUGGUUUUGCCCUAAAAAGGCAGGUUCUUCUGUUUCUCAAAUCUGACAAAGUUUUGUCAGACUCUUGAAUUCUCAUUAAUAGUUCCAACACAGACUAUUAAUGCUGUUAGUUUUGACCAAAUACAUGACUCAUGAAUUAACUAACUCUUACUUGGUAAUCUGAAGGAAUCAAUAAAAUCCACACUUAAUUCCCCCUAAAUCAACUGAACAACUAUGGACUAUGGAAUUGGGGAGAUCUGUCUAAAUGGCAGCAAUAUCAACUACGAAAAAUAUUUAUUUAGAGUCUGGGUAGGUACCAAGUUCAAUGAACUGCUUAGAGAGUCUGUGUUGCUUUGGUGACUGUUCUAGGCAGUGCUAAUUUUGCUACAAUUUCCUUUCUUAAGUAAGUCACAACCAGAAUAAAAACAAAGUUCUAGAAAUCCCAUAUUUUUACAAACUGGAUUGAUGAAACCAGUUUUUAAAAUAUCAGAGGACCAGACUGAAAAAGAAACCAGGUGUAGCAAAAGGCAACUCUUCUGGAAACUGAAAAUUCAAAGAAACAUGGUAAUCUCACUGUAUUAAUUUUCUUUUCCUCUUGUAACAAAUUACCACAAGCUUAGUGGCUUAAAACAACACAAAUUUAUAUCCUACAGUUUGUGGAGAAGUAUGAAGUGGGUCUUCCAGGGCUAAAAUCAGUGCUGGUAGAGAGGGGGUACAGAGAAUCUGUUCCUAUUCUUUUCAGCUUCUAGAGAAAGCCUGGGUUCCUUGGCUCAAAGUUUCUUCCAGCAGGGGCAUCUCUCUGACCUCUGUUUCCACUGCCUCAGCUCCUACUCUCACUCGAACCCUCCUGCAUCCCUCUUAUAGGAACCCUUGUGAUUACACUGAGCCUUCUCAAUCAAUGCAGGAUAAUCUUCUAUCUAUCUCAAGACCCGUAAUGUAAUCACAUCUGCAAAGUCCCUUUUGCCAUUUGAGGUAACAAAUCCAUAGGCUCCAAGAAUUAAGAUAUGGACAUCUUUUAGGGGACCAUUCUUCUGACUACCAUACUCCCCUAGCUGAAGAAUUAUUGUGUGAAACAGGGAUAAAGGCAGAACUAAUAUAAAUGAGUCAAAGUGGCCAGGAGGUGAAAUUUGGCUCCAAACAGAAGAAUCUCAAUAAUGAUAAGAGGUGAGUGAAAAAGGACAGGAGCUUUUGAGGAGGAUGUGGGCUCUUUAUCACUAGGGCUGAGCCUCUCUUUCUAAACAUUCACUCCCUCUGCCCAUGUUGGGGUUUUGAUUGCAUGGCAUUUGAGGGUCUUUCCAAUUUUAAGCUUCCAGGUCUUUGAAAAUUUGGAAGGUGUGUCAGUCAGUGUAUAGGCUAGGCUAUGCUGGGUAACAACCAAUCCCCCAAAUCUCAGUGAUUUCAAUCAACACAUCCAUUGUUGGACUGCAUUAGCUCUGGUCGUUGUGGUCCUCUAGGGACUAAAGAGACACCACCACUGCAGACAUAGCUAGCCACAGUGCCAGCAGGAUAGAGAGUUCUGGAGGGUCUAGAAAGAGCAACUGAUACCCUGGUCCACAAGGGUCACACAACACUUACACUAACAGCUCCUCAGUCAGAACUAGUCACAAGUCUCUGGCCAACUAAAAGGAAGACCAGGAUAAAGAGCCAAUCUGGAAGGCAAAGAAACAGAAAUAUUGACGAGUGCAAAUAGUGACUGUGACAGGAAACAAUUGACCCUCUCCAUCAAUCAAUUCACAGAUUUUAGUCAUAAAAGGAGUCAUAAAACUCUUUUGACCCCUAAAGAGUUUUUCUAAACAGGGUGACGGUCAAUCGAUUAUCCUAGGCUCACUGAUGCAACAAGAUUGUCUUAAGCAUGUUCUUCUUUCUUGAUUUUAGCUCCAUGGUUAGGGUUUCACUUUCAAAAGAUUAAUAAUAAGGUGAUAAUGAUGAUGAUAAUGAUGAUGAUGAUGGUAAUGCAUGCUUUUUGAAAAUCACAGUGUACUGAGCAUUGUACUCAGCAUUUUCCACAUUUAUUUUUUGAAUCUCAGGCAUAGAGGCAUGAGUGAAUCACACUUCUGAUUUCAUAGCAUACUUCUAUUGUAAGACUCAUACAAAGACUCUCUCAUGGUGUAUUUUAUUCAUGUGUCCCCUCUCCUCAUUUUAUCAACCAUAAUGUCUUUGAUAUGAUACCUUAAUAUUUUGUAUAUUUUUGCAAAUUGUAUAGUGUUGUUGUUAUGUAGGUAUUUUUAAUUCUAUAAAAGUAUAUUCAUGUAUACUGGUUCUGUUUAUUUCUUCCUUACAUUCGGAUCUUACUGCAUUU
RNAcentral lists this long non-coding RNA (3300 nucleotides) under Homo sapiens (human). RNAcentral describes it as "HSALNT0401037". The record is from RNAcentral. Lineage: Eukaryota; Metazoa; Chordata; Mammalia; Primates; Hominidae.